RNAcentral lists this ribosomal RNA (747 nucleotides) under Mycosphaerella populi. Its description in RNAcentral is "eukaryotic LSU rRNA". It matches the Rfam family "Eukaryotic large subunit ribosomal RNA", at positions 95 to 871 of the family's 3401-position model. Lineage: Eukaryota; Fungi; Ascomycota; Dothideomycetes; Mycosphaerellales; Mycosphaerellaceae. The record is from RNAcentral.
GAAGCGGCAACAGCUCAAAUUUGAAAUCUGGCGCAAGCCCGAGUUGUAAUUUGUAGAGGAUGCUUCUGGGUAGCGACCGGUCUAAGUUCCUUGGAACAGGACGUCAUAGAGGGUGAGAAUCCCGUAUGUGACCGGCCCGCACCCUGCACGUAGCUCCUUCGACGAGUCGAGUUGUUUGGGAAUGCAGCUCUAAAUGGGAGGUAAAUUUCUUCUAAAGCUAAAUACCGGCCAGAGACCGAUAGCGCACAAGUAGAGUGAUCGAAAGAUGAAAAGUACUUUGGAAAGAGAGUUAAAAAGCACGUGAAAUUGUUGAAAGGGAAGCGCCUGCAAUCAGACUUCGCGGCAGUGUUCCGUCGGUCUUCUGACCGGCUCACUCUCUGUCGCGAGGCCAUCAUCGUCUCGGCCCGCUGGAUAAGACCUUGGGAAUGUAGCUCACCUUCGGGGGAGUGUUAUAGCUCAUGGUGAUGCAGCGCGGCUGGGGCGAGGUCCGCGCUUCGGCAAGGAUGAUGGCGUAAUGGUUGUCGGCGGCCCGUCUUGAAACACGGACCAAGGAGUCUAACAUCUAUGCGAGUGUUCGGGUGUCAAACCCCUACGCGUAAUGAAAGUGAACGGAGGUGGGAACCGCAAGGUGCACCAUCGACCGAUCCUGAUGUCCUCGGAUGGAUUUGAGUAAGAGCAUAGCUGUUGGGACCCGAAAGAUGGUGAACUAUGCCUGAAUAGGGUGAAGCCAGAGGAAACUCUGGUGGA